RNAcentral lists this ribosomal RNA (253 nucleotides) under uncultured bacterium. RNAcentral's name for it is "partial 16S ribosomal RNA". It matches the Rfam family "Bacterial small subunit ribosomal RNA", at positions 524 to 776 of the family's 1533-position model. The record is from RNAcentral.
GACGCAGGGCGCGAGCGUUGUCCGGAUUUAUUGGGCGUAAAGAGCUCGUAGGCGGCUCGUUGCGUCAACCGUGAAAACCCGGGGCUUAACUUCGGGCUUGCGGUUGAUACGGGCGGGCUGGAGUUCGGUAGGGGAGACUGGAAUUCCUGGUGUAGCGGUGAAAUGCGCAGAUAUCAGGAGGAACACCGGUGGCGAAGGCGGCAUCCUGGACCGAUACUGACGCUGAGGAGCGAAAGCCAGGGGAGCAAACGGG